AACAUCGCGCACCUGCGGGAACCUGCGGAAGGAUCAUUACCGAGGCUGCCUCUAUGGCGGUUUCCCACCUGUGUCAUUUUUACCUGUUGCUUCGGCGGUUGCUUGUCAGUCGCCGAAGGAUUUUAAUCUUGAUGUUUGAUGUCCGAGUUCUACUGAAUAGUUAAAACUUUCAACAAUGGAUCU
RNAcentral lists this unclassified non-coding RNA (183 nucleotides) under soil metagenome. Its description in RNAcentral is "partial contains 5.8S ribosomal RNA, internal transcribed spacer 2, and large subunit ribosomal RNA". The record is from RNAcentral.